UGGCUCAGUUGGUAGAGCAUGGUGUUUGCAACGCCAGGGUUGUGUGGUUCAAUUCCCAC
This 59-nucleotide transfer RNA is filed under the name Salmo salar (Atlantic salmon). It matches the Rfam family "tRNA", at positions 8 to 63 of the family's 71-position model. From Rfam's summary of the family: Transfer RNA (tRNA) molecules are approximately 80 nucleotides in length. Their secondary structure includes four short double-helical elements and three loops (D, anti-codon, and T loops). Further hydrogen bonds mediate the characteristic L-shaped molecular structure. tRNAs have two regions of fundamental functional importance: the anti-codon, which is responsible for specific mRNA codon recognition, and the 3' end, to which the tRNAs corresponding amino acid is attached (by aminoacyl-tRNA synthetases). tRNAs cope with the degeneracy of the genetic code in two manners: having more than one tRNA (with a specific anti-codon) for a particular amino acid; and 'wobble' base-pairing, i.e. permitting non-standard base-pairing at the 3rd anti-codon position. Lineage: Eukaryota; Metazoa; Chordata; Actinopteri; Salmoniformes; Salmonidae. The record is from Rfam by way of RNAcentral.